RNAcentral lists this ribosomal RNA (760 nucleotides) under Psathyrella corrugis. Its description in RNAcentral is "eukaryotic LSU rRNA". It matches the Rfam family "Eukaryotic large subunit ribosomal RNA", at positions 131 to 881 of the family's 3401-position model. The record is from RNAcentral. Lineage: Eukaryota; Fungi; Basidiomycota; Agaricomycetes; Agaricales; Psathyrellaceae.
UGGCCAUCCGAGUUGUAAUCUAGAGAAGUGUUACCCGCGUCGGACCGUGUACAAGUCUCCUGGAAUGGAGCGUCAUAGAGGGUGAGAAUCCCGUCUUUGACACGGACUACCGAGGCUUUGUGGUGCUCUCAACGAGUCGAGUUGUUUGGGAAUGCAGCUCAAAAUGGGUGGUAAAUUCCAUCUAAAGCUAAAUAUUGGCGAGAGACCGAUAGCGAACAAGUACCGUGAGGGAAAGAUGAAAAGAACUUUGGAAAGAGAGUUAAACAGUACGUGAAAUUGCUAAAAGGGAAACGCUUGAAGUCAGUCGCGUUGGCCGGAAAUCAGCCUUGCUUUUGCUGGGUGUACUUUCUGGUUGACGGGCCAGCAUCAGUUUUGACCGGUGGAAAAAGUUCAAGGGAAUGUGGCAUCUUCGGAUGUGUUAUAGCCCUUGGUCGUAUACAUCGGUUGGGACUGAGGAACUCAGCACGCCGAAAGGCCGGGUCUUUGACCACGUUCGUGCUUAGGAUGCUGGCAUAAUGGCUUUAAUCGACCCGUCUUGAAACACGGACCAAGGAGUCUAACAUGCCUGCGAGUGUUUGGGUGGAAAACCCGGACGCGUAAUGAAAGUGAAAGUCGAGAGUAGUGGUAAAAGUCGCAUCGACGCCCGGACCAGAAGUUUUCUGACGGCCCUGCGGUAGAGCAUGUAUGUUGGGACCCGAAAGAUGGUGAACUAUGCCUGAAUAGGGUGAAGCCAGAGGAAACUCUGGUGGAGGCUCGUAGC